CCUACGGGGGGCUGCAGUGGGGAAUAUUGGACAAUGGGGGCAACCCUGAUCCAGCCAUGCCGCGUGAGUGAUGACGGCCUUAGGGUUGUAAAGCUCUUUUCUCCGGGACGAUAAUGACGGUACCGGAGGAAUAAGCCCCGGCUAACUUCGUGCCAGCAGCCGCGGUAAUACGAAGGGGGCUAGCGUUGCUCGGAAUCACUGGGCGUAAAGGGCGCGUAGGCGGCUGAUUUAGUCGAGGGUGAAAGCCCGUGGCUCAACCACGGAAUGGCCUUCGAUACUGAUUGGCUCGAGACCGGAAGAGGACAGCGGAACUGCGAGUGUAGAGGUGAAAUUCGUAGAUAUUCGCAAGAACACCAGUGGCGAAGGCGGCUGUCUGGUCCGGUUCUGACGCUGAGGCGCGAAAGCGUGGGGAGCAAACAGGAUUAGAUACCCUAGUAGUCGU
Molecule: ribosomal RNA, 442 nt
Filed under: uncultured Methylobacteriaceae bacterium
Lineage: Bacteria; Pseudomonadati; Pseudomonadota; Alphaproteobacteria; Hyphomicrobiales; Methylobacteriaceae
Description: bacterial SSU rRNA
Rfam family: Bacterial small subunit ribosomal RNA
Source: RNAcentral